RNAcentral lists this ribosomal RNA (465 nucleotides) under Vreelandella stevensii. RNAcentral's name for it is "partial 16S ribosomal RNA". It matches the Rfam family "Bacterial small subunit ribosomal RNA", at positions 338 to 795 of the family's 1533-position model. Lineage: Bacteria; Pseudomonadati; Pseudomonadota; Gammaproteobacteria; Oceanospirillales; Halomonadaceae. The record is from RNAcentral.
CCUACGGGUGGCUGCAGUGGGGAAUAUUGGACAAUGGGGGGAACCCUGAUCCAGCCAUGCCGCGUGUGUGAAGAAGGCCCUCGGGUUGUAAAGCACUUUCAGUGAGGAAGAACGCCUGGUGGUUAAUACCCAUCAGGAAAGACAUCACUCACAGAACAAGCACCGUCUAACUCCGUGCCAGCAGCCGCGGUAAUACGGAGGGUGCGAGCGUUAAUCGGAAUUACUGGGCGUAAAGCGCGCGUAGGUGGCUUGAUAAGCCGGUUGUGAAAGCCCCGGGCUCAACCUGGGAACGGCAUCCGGAACUGUCAAGCUAGAGUGCAGGAGAGGAAGGUAGAAUUCCCGGUGUAGCGGUGAAAUGCGUAGAGAUCGGGAGGAAUACCAGUGGCGAAGGCGGCCUUCUGGACUGACACUGACACUGAGGUGCGAAAGCGUGGGUAGCAAACAGGAUUAGAUACCCCGGUAGUC